RNAcentral lists this ribosomal RNA (498 nucleotides) under uncultured bacterium. RNAcentral describes it as "partial 16S ribosomal RNA". It matches the Rfam family "Bacterial small subunit ribosomal RNA", at positions 30 to 523 of the family's 1533-position model. The record is from RNAcentral.
AUUGAACGCUGGCGGCAUGCCUUACACAUGCAAGUCGAACGGUAACAGGUCUUCGGAUGCUGACGAGUGGCGAACGGGUGAGUAAUACAUCGGAACGUGCCUAGUAGUGGGGGAUAACUACUCGAAAGAGUGGCUAAUACCGCAUGAGGUCUACGGAUGAAAGCAGGGGAUCGCAAGACCCUGUGCUACUAGAGCGGCCGAUGGCAGAUUAGGUAGUUGGCGGGAUAAAAGCUUACCAAGCCGACGAUCUGUAGCUGGUCUGAGAGGACGAUCAGCCACACUGGGACUGAGACACGGCCCAGACUCCUACGGGAGGCAGCAGUGGGGAAUUUUGGACAAUGGGCGCAAGCCUGAUCUAGCAAUGCCGCGUGCAGGAUGAAGGCCUUCGGGUUGUAAACUGCUUUUGUACGGAACGAAAAGCCCCGGGUUAAUACCCUGGGGUCAUGACGGUACCGUAAGAAUAAGCACCGGCUAACUACGUGCCAGCCGCCGCCGUAA